This is a non-coding RNA of Nematostella vectensis (starlet sea anemone), 457 nucleotides long. NCBI's taxonomy places the organism in Eukaryota, Metazoa, Cnidaria, Anthozoa, Actiniaria, Edwardsiidae. The record is from Rfam.
UAUCUGGUUGAUCCUGCCAGUAGUCAUAUGCUUGUCUCANAGAUUAAGCCAUGCAUGUCAAAGUAUAAGCACUUGUACUGUGAAACUGCGAAUGGCUCAUUAAAUCAGUUAUCGUUUAUUUGAUUGUACCUUUACUACUUGGAUAACCGUGGUAAUUCUAGAGCUAAUACAUGCGAAAAGUCCCGACUUCUGGAAGGGAUGUAUUUAUUAGAUUCAAAACCAAUGCGGGUUCUGCCCGGUCAUUUGGUGAUUCAUAGUAACUGUUUGAAUCGCAGGGCCUGGCGCCGGCGAUGUUUCAUUCAAAUUUCUGCCCUAUCAACUGUCGAUGGUAAGGUGUUGGCUUACCAUGGUUACAACGGGUGACGGAGAAUUAGGGUUCGAUUCCGGAGAGGGAGCCUGAGAAACGGCUACCACAUCCAAGGAAGGCAGCAGGCGCGCAAAUUACCCAAUCCUGACU